GAUGAAGAACGUAGCGAAAUGCGAUACGUAAUGUGAAUUGCAGAAUUCAGUGAAUCAUCGAAUCUUUGAACGCACAUUGCGCCCGCCAGCACUCUGGCGGGCAUGCCUGUUCGAGCGUCAUUUCAACCAUCAAGCCCCAGGCUUGCGUUGGAGCCCUGCGGCUGCCGCAGCCUCCUAAAAGCAGUGGCGGGCUCGCUAUCACACCGAGUGCAGUAGAUUACUCUUCGCUCAGGGCGUGCAGCGGGUUCCGGCCGUGAAACCCCCUACUUUUAAAGGUUGACCUCGGAUCAGGUAGGAAUACCCACUGAACUUAAGCAUAUCAAUAAGCGGAGGA
This 334-nucleotide unclassified non-coding RNA is filed under the name soil metagenome. Its description in RNAcentral is "partial contains 5.8S ribosomal RNA, internal transcribed spacer 2, and large subunit ribosomal RNA". The stretch from base 1 to 120 matches the Rfam family "5.8S ribosomal RNA", at positions 35 to 154 of the family's 154-position model. The record is from RNAcentral.